UGACCUCAAGCACCACUUGCUGGACUUUCCAACAAGAGCUCUGCAAGCAUCAUGCACAAAGACAGAUAUUCCUAUGAUGCUGCUUAUAGUGGGAGACAGAGGGAUGUAGCAGCUCCUGCCACAUGGACUGCCCCAGAUGUUUCUGAAGAUCUGUCUAAGUGUUAAUAUUCUUUGGCAAAAAUAAGGCAAGGAAUCUGAGAGAAGUUGAUUUGGUUCAUUGAUCAAAAUAUACAUUUCUGAGAAGCCCCUGAUAUCAUAUAAUUGUACAAAGAGGAAGAGUAUCAGGGAAAUGUUAUGUGAUGGGAAGCUAGUAACACAUUUGAUGUGUUGAUUUCUAUUGCAACACCUACAAGGAGCUUCUCUGAUGGGCUGGAAGGCACUGGUUACUAGCUCAGUACUCAACACAGAACAUGGCAAGAAACAACUUGUGGUAAAGAUGGAUGACAGGAGACAGGCAGGAAGUUUAAGAACUGAAUUCAUAUGUGGAAUUUCAAGAACAUCUCUCAAAAAGAUGAAACCCACUCAGGACGCAUUAUAGGAAAUAAUUAAUCAUUCCACCCCUUGUAUACAAUCAAUAACACUAAAAGACUGUCUUGUCAUCUUAUCAGGCUACAUAGGUUUUAGCAGUUCCUUUAUUAAGCCUGGAAAAGAAAGCAAGGAGAGGGGCAUUCUUUGAACAUCCAAACACAGUGUCACACUGAGUGUGAUCCUGACACUGCCCAGGGAACCUGCUAUCCUUUGUUUACAGAUGGAUCUGUGAUAACCCGACAGCUCAGAUGGAAGGUCACUCCAGAGGACAAGCAGGGAGUUCUUUUCCAUCAUCCCUGAAUCCUGGAAAUGGAGGGGUUGACCACCCUGGCAAUCCAGGCUCUCUGUUAAAUUCUACUUUUCCUGCUGACAGAAGUAUGUGGAAUGUGAUCAGGAGAUAUUUGGGCAAUUUGUCUUCUCUUACAAGAAGGAGGGAGAGGGAAAGGUGGACAAACCCCUAUGAGCUAUCUGGAGAGAAUUUUAUUUUGAUAAAUAAAGUAAUACAGCCAUGAAAUUUUACAACUUUUUGACUACUGAGAUAGCAAUUGUGCAAGGCUGUUUUGGAUAUCCAUGUGCAUCCAUGCUAGCAGGUGUACACAAUCAUUAACACCACAUGUGAUAUCACAACUGCAUGAGAGGCAAUAAAUGUUAUCCCAUAGACUGACCUGAGCAUGUCCAGGCCAACAUUUCAUCCUCAUUUGCUGAGUCCAUGGGUGUCAUCACACACCACAAAGGGUUAACUCUUCCCUAUUCACAAAAGCACAGCUUGAGCAACAGGCUAGAAAUGCACUACAGCUUCUCCAGCUGUGGUAAAGCCUUGCAGUCCUCCUCAGAAAGAUCAUCAGAGAAGCAUUCACUUCUGGUAGAUCCAUAGUUCAUCUUGGUUGUCUUGAUUCAUUCUUCAGAUGACAGUGACAUAAACUGCUGCCUCAGAGGAAGGUAUCAAAACUUCUUCAACAGCAGUCAUUGAAUAAGGUGUCUACAAACUUUUCUCUUUUUUUCCCAAUACUUAAAAUAUGGAUUUUAGUUUCUUGUAUAAACUUCAGGGCUUCCAGCCUUGCCAGAAUCCUAAUAAUCCUUAUCUAUUAUUGAAUUUUCUGAAUAAUUUAACCCUUUCUUCAGUCCAGAUUUCAAAUGUAUUUUAGAUCUAUAAGCUGUCCAGACUUCUGACACGUGGCAUAAAUGAAGGAUUGCCAUUCAUUAUUUCUAAAUUUUUUGUCUAAUCAAAGCUUAAAAUAGAAUGUAGUCAAUUUGUUUCAAGUCUCCUACUAAUUAACUUUAGAUUUAUUUAUUCUUUGACAUUUAUUUGCCAAUGGUUGUUAUGAUUGUUUUUGACAAACAUUUAAAGCAAAUCGUCUUUGAUUACAUUGCCUUGUCCAAGCACCAACAAACUGACAUUUGACAUAAUUUGUCAAGUCACCAUUGGUUUAAGGCUGAAUUUUUCUUUAUCAUAUUUAAUCUGUCUUACAGUCAAUUUUCUCCUCAAGGUCAUUUUUACUUUUUUUCUCUAGCCAGAGAAGUAACUGCUAAAAGAAUUAAUUUAGCAAGGGAAAGAAUUAUACUUUGAAAAUUAAUGUAGAUAAUAAAAGCCACAAUUUAAUGCAUAAGGACAGGUUUGUUAAUAGAAGCACACAGGUUUCAUUACUGGCAUGUGACUGUCAAUAUUUUUAUGCAUCUCUCAGUUCACAGAGAAAUGUUGAUGAAGAAUGAGCGUCUUACUCAAGUUGUAGAUAAACCUUAGAUUGGGAUACUACCAGGUCCUUGUGAGGAGAGAAUUCAGCUAAGUAUAAAUUUUGUGUUUGACAUAAGGAAAUGGCAACAGAUCUAUUAAUUAUUUCAUUUUGAGAUGAUUUUAAAUUAAAGAAAAUCAAACUCAAACUUUCCUCCUCAAGUAAAUUAGAAACAAGAAUCAAAAAAUAAGAUUUACUUUAUUACAUUUAGUGCUAAGGGAUUUUCUUUUAAAGACAAUUUUCAAGCUUAUUUUUGAAAAGUUUGCAACUUUAGCGAUUAUUUGAAUGUCUUUGAUUAAAAAAAGGAAAAUCUGAGUGGGGAACACCUCUGCAGUGGCCCAUGUCUUUAUCAUUUCAGAUAAUUUUUCCUGUGUUCAUACAUAGUAUGAACAAUAUAUGGCAACUGGCAGAUCCAGUACGAAUGACCAAACACAUACAAUGAGAAUGAAAUCACUUUAAAGCAAUGCACCUCGAUAUCCAUGGCCUUGGCAAACACUCAGCAUUGUGCAAGAGUCUGUGCUUAUUUGGUUGUUACAUAAGUGAUUUACUUGCCAUGCUUUUCAUUUUCUGCAACUUGCUGUAGUUAUGCAAAAUAAUAUUUAUCAUUAUAGGGUAAUUUAAGAGAAAAAGAUUGUAAAAGCUACAUGACUGUGUAUAAAUGGUACAUGACAUGAAACUGUGAAAAUUUAAAUGUGCUUAUUCUAAUUUAAAACUUUAUAUUUAAUAUUUAUAUAUUAAUA
This is a long non-coding RNA of Parus major (Great Tit), 2998 nucleotides long. RefSeq lists it as uncharacterized. The transcript has 4 exons. Lineage: Eukaryota; Metazoa; Chordata; Aves; Passeriformes; Paridae. The record is from RefSeq and is a predicted model, not a curated record.